RNAcentral lists this long non-coding RNA (676 nucleotides) under Fukomys damarensis (Damara mole-rat). Its description in RNAcentral is "lncRNA (ENSFDAG00000024833.1)". Lineage: Eukaryota; Metazoa; Chordata; Mammalia; Rodentia; Bathyergidae. The record is from RNAcentral.
AUGGGGAGUGUCAGAAUGCACUGCACUCUCAAAGACCAGCCCCUUCCCCUCCACGAAAUGACUACGUGUCUGCCACAGAACCCCUCCUGCAUCGUGGUCACCAUCAGAAUGGCCUACUUUCCACGGAGCAGAUCCCAGAGCCAUCUCCACACUGGCCUCCAAGCUGUGCCGGUGGUUUUUAUAGGAAUCAGAAAAGGGUGCAUUACUGUCACAUCUGAUGAUCCGGGAGUCGGCGUUGGCCGGGCUGGGUGGCAUCAGCAGAGCGAGACCCUCCGGGGCCACCCGUUCCUCCACAUCCCUCUUCUUCUCCACCUUCCAGCCCCCGCGUCCAGCAGACCUUAUCAGUCCAUGUAUCUGCCGUCGAUCCGUGCAUCAGGCAGAGGAGGAGGAGAAAAGCAAGGAAUCCAAGCAAUGUUUUCCACGCUCCGUGCGGCAGUAAAUCUCUUCCUCAAAUCUGCUUUGAUUCGUGCGUUCGUUCGGGUUUGUGGGAAUUUCAGCCCCCACAAGCUUCUAAAGGGCCUUUUUCUCCAUUCCUAUUAAAUAUAGUCCAGGGCAGGAUCCUAGACAUCCGAUUCCCAUAAGACCCAGCUUAGCAACCCUCCCCCAGGGCCAUCCCAGCCCUCCGCCGCAAAAAAAGCUGUGUGGGAGAGAUGUGGGGACUGGAACCCCGCCAAGG